CACACACACACACACACACACGCAUACUUUUGAACAGCUGGUGCUGGGCUGGCUGGCUACAUACAGCCAGGGGACAGAUAGCUGGCUGAGAGAGGGAAUGGGAGCACGUUGCUCAAUCAAUGAGCCAUCAAUCACACACUUACACACACACACGAACACAAAUGCAUACACACAGCAAGAAGGAGCAAAGACAUGAAACAGGAGACCAUAUCCUUUAACUACCACUCAAAAGAAAGCCAUCAAAGCGCUGGCUCUGGCUCCAGGCCUUUUUCCAUGGCCAAAUUUCCAGUCACUGCUUUGUCUUGUGGUGGUUUCAUUAGAGCUACUACUAGACUCCUCUGUGUGUGUGUGUGUGUGUGUGUGUGUGUGUGUUGCACCACAGCAGUUAUCUGCUAUCUAACUAGCUCACUGCUGCGGGGUUUCUUUUCUGCACUCUGCUGAGCUCCCAGACAGCAAGAGGUUGUGAAAAGGCUGGCAAGGAGGCGGCAGCAAUCAUAUACGUCUCCCCUGCGCUGCCCCUGGAGCCCCCAGCAGAAGACGGUACGAGCAAGGAAAGGUCGAGGCCACGAGAUGAACGGUCCCACCUCUUGCUGGAAUGAGCCUUAAUUUGAUAGGGGUUGGGCUGAGCCAGGACUGUGGUAAGACAUGCACAUGUGCCACACAGAAAGAAGCAUGUGUUAAGUCACUGGAAUGUACACACAUAUCGGAGACACAAUGAGGAAGGUCAUUCUUAGGAUGCAAUUUGAAAAAAACAAAAAACAAAACAAAGAAUCAGCCAUAUGCUUAAGUCGUUGCUGCACGUCUGCCGUUUCUGCAUCUCACAUCAAAAUGAGGACACCGGACGUAAGACCUGCUGCAAAACGACACUGUGCCGUGGUUACAUAAUCUUUGCACUAGUAAUGUAGCUGUUACUGUGCCCUGUAUCUCAUAAAAGCAGCAAAUUUAGUUGUUCUGCUUUAACCAGAAUACAGUGUUCCCCCUCCUAAGCCCACACGUUUCAGCCCACCCAUCCUCUUCUUGCCUAUCAGUCCUGGCCUUAUUCCAUUCAAACUUUUCACAGAUGGGAACAGAAUUGUGUUGAUGUGCAUUCCAUAUUCAGUGUACAUGCAUCAGUCACACCACAGACCAGGGCGUCAGAGGGUCAGAGGUGGAAAUGACAGACCUGGGCUCUUUAUACAUGCAAGGAUACGUGAAUAUAAGAUCCCAUAUCUGAGCUGGCAGUGCAAAACAGGGCAGCAGUAAUCAAAUGAACUAACAUCCAGGCUGUGUUGCAUGGUGUGGUUACGGUUGCCUGGCUAUUUAUAUGUGUCCCUCCUUCAGAGAAGGAAGUCGCUCCUAUUGGAUCCAGAUGUGAGCGGAAGGACAGACAACAGCUCGACUGAAAGUUGCUGUACCCACCCUGGCUCACUCCACCUCCGGACUUGGAAUACCUAGUGAUCAUUUUGGAAAUCCCUCUGUGCCUCACCUGCCUGCCCUCCUGCCAUCACACUCCAUCUGGAGCCCCGGAUCUCAGGUCAGCCUUUCCACGCCACUCAGCCUCCCCUGGAUCUUCAUCAUCCCCCUCUCAAACACUCCAGGUCCCUAACUGCAAUGUGACUGUUCCCCACUCAGCUCCGUUCCACUUCUCAGGCCUCGUUCCCUCGCCCUAGCCACGUUCCCCUGGGCACGCCACACCAAGGCUCCACGUCUCGUCAUUUUCUGUCUUUGCCACGUUUCCCUUUUUUUUGUUCCCCUUGCACUUAACCGUAAUAAACUAUUAAAUCAUCUACUGUCUCCGCUCUGGGUUUCUGCACCUGAGUCCUAUUCAGUACCGGCCAUCCGUCGCCGUGACAACUUGUACAUGUAGGAGGCAAUCUGCUGCACAUGCAUUCUCACUAUUACACAGAACAUCUAUAGAGUACAAAUACUAUGCUUGGUUUGGGUGAAGGUGCUGCCCGGGUUCAGGGUGCACACAUAAUGCCCACUGAACAAGUUCUCUAUUCUCCAGACAGUUACUUUCGCUAUUCUACAUGGGUCCACACAGACUCUGUAGUAGGAUGCUGUCAGUUUAGAGACUCUUUAAUUGUAUUCUUAGAACAUCUCCACCAGAGAUUUUAAAACACAGGUGUCG
Non-coding RNA from Maylandia zebra (zebra mbuna), 2110 nucleotides. The record is from RefSeq and is a predicted model, not a curated record. NCBI's taxonomy places the organism in Eukaryota, Metazoa, Chordata, Actinopteri, Cichliformes, Cichlidae.